GAUGAACGCUGGCGGCGUGCCUAAUACAUGCAAGUCGAACGAAACUUCUUUAUCACCGAGUGCUUGCACUCACCGAUAAAGAGUUGAGUGGCGAACGGGUGAGUAACACGUGGGCAACCUGCCCAAAAGAGGGGGAUAACACUUGGAAACAGGUGCUAAUACCGCAUAACCAUAGUUACCGCAUGGUAACUAUGUAAAAGGUGGCUAUACUACCGCUUUUGGAUGGGCCCGCGGCGCAUUAGCUAGUUGGUAGGGUAAAGGCUUACCAAGGCAAUGAUGCGUAGCCGAAUUGAGAGGGUGAUCGGCCACAUUGGGACUGAGACACGGCCCAAACUCCUACGGGAGGCAGCAGUAGGGAAUCUUCCACAAUGGGCGAAAGCCUGAUGGAGCAACGCCGCGUGGGUGAAGAAGGUCUUCGGAUCGUAAAACCCUGUUGUUAGAGAAGAAAGUGCGUGAGAGUAACUGUUCACGUUUCGACGGUAUCUAACCAGAAAGCCACGGCUAACUACGUG
Molecule: ribosomal RNA, 512 nt
Filed under: uncultured bacterium
Lineage: Bacteria
Description: partial 16S ribosomal RNA
Rfam family: Bacterial small subunit ribosomal RNA
Source: RNAcentral